Long non-coding RNA from Anopheles coustani, 180 nucleotides. RefSeq lists it as uncharacterized. The record is from RefSeq and is a predicted model, not a curated record. The transcript has 3 exons. NCBI's taxonomy places the organism in Eukaryota, Metazoa, Arthropoda, Insecta, Diptera, Culicidae.
CGCGGACCUAAUGAGCGUGUACAAUCUGUUUCACAACACGCUGUUCAGCGUCACUACGUGCCGUAAUUACGUGUUGACAGUGACGAAGGCCGGUCUUUUGGCAGUGGCGGAUGCGACGCCACAAUCUGAUUCCGACUCGUCUUCGGAGGAAUCGGUCGAGACCCGUGAAUUUAUGGAAGA